CCUACGGGUGGCAGCAGUGGGGAAUAUUGCACAAUGGGUGAAACCCUGAUGCAGCGACGCCGCGUGAGUGAAGAAGUAAUUCGUUAUGUAAAGCUCUAUCAGCAGGGAAGAAAAUGACGGUACCUGAGUACGAAGCCCCGGCUAACUACGUGCCAGCAGCCGCGGUAAUACGUAGGGGGCAAGCGUUAUCCGGAUUUACUGGGGGUAAAGGGAGCGUAGACGGCAGUGCAAGUCUGGAGUGAAAGGCGGGGGGUCAACCCCCGGACUGCUCUGGAAACUGUCGGGCUGGAGUGCAGGAGAGGUAAGUGGAAUUCCUAGUGUAGCGGUGAAAUGCGUAGAUAUUAGGAGGAACACCAGUGGCGAAGGCGGCUUACUGGACUGUAACUGACGUUGAGGCACGAAAGCGUGGGGAGCGAACAGGAUUAGAUACCCUGGUAGUC
This 440-nucleotide ribosomal RNA is filed under the name uncultured bacterium. RNAcentral's name for it is "partial 16S ribosomal RNA". It matches the Rfam family "Bacterial small subunit ribosomal RNA", at positions 338 to 795 of the family's 1533-position model. The record is from RNAcentral.